Molecule: ribosomal RNA, 397 nt
Filed under: uncultured bacterium
Lineage: Bacteria
Description: partial 16S ribosomal RNA
Rfam family: Bacterial small subunit ribosomal RNA
Source: RNAcentral
AUACGUAGGUGACAAGCGUUAUCCGGAUUUACUGGGCGUAAAGGGCGUGUAGGCGGUCUUGCAAGUCAGAAGUGAAAUUCCUGAGCUCAACUCGGGCGCUGCUUCUGAAACUGCAGGACUUGAGUGCUGGAGGGGAUAGCGGAAUUCCUAGUGGAGCGGUAAAAUGCGCAGAUAUUAGGAAGAACACCGGUGGCGAAGGCGGCUAUCUGGAUAGUAACGGACGCUGAGGCGCGAAAGCGUGGGGAGCAAACAGGAUUAGAUACCCUGGUAGUCCACGCCGUAAACGAGGAAUACUAGGUGUAGGGUGUAUCGACUCCCUCUGUGCCGCAGUUAACACAAUAAGUAUUCCGCCUGGGGAGUACGGCCGCAAGGUUGAAACUCAAAUGAAUUGACGGGG